RNAcentral lists this long non-coding RNA (981 nucleotides) under Octopus vulgaris (common octopus). Lineage: Eukaryota; Metazoa; Mollusca; Cephalopoda; Octopoda; Octopodidae. The record is from RNAcentral.
AUAUAAUAUAUUUAUAUAUAAUAAAUAAUAUAUAUAUUUAUAUAUAUAUGUGUGCAUAUUUAUAUAAACGCAUAUAUACAAACAUUUCUAUAUAUAUAAAUAUAAUUGCACACAAACACACACAUACAUACACGGUCACACACACUCACACACACAUAUAUGUCCAUGUAUGUAUACACUUUAAUAAUAGGAAGCAGUUUAUAAGUUGCCUACAUAUGUGCGCAUCGUAAACUCCUAUUAGCUUACAAUAACAACAACACCACCUUUAGGAAGAAUAUAUUAGCAACAACAACGAAAAAAGAAAAGAAAACAAAAACAAAACAACAUAACACUAAACAAAAAUAUCUUUAUUUCAAUCCAAGAAAAUAUAUUAAAAUCCCCAAACACAUUCUUUAACACACCAGUAGCAAAAAAAAUAAAAAAAUGAAAAGAAAAAUAUAAGGAAUAAAUGUAAAAUGAAAUACAAAAAAUAUUUCAUGUAAUCAAAAUAAAAUGGAAAGUUCAUAUUGUGUUGUACAGCCGGCAUUUACUUCUUAUUGUGAGUACAUCUGUAUCAGCCGGUACUUUCAUGUGGAAUUAACACUACCAUGAGAGAGAUUAUAAAGUUCGUAAGAUGGAACAAGACUCUUUGUCUUACAAGGUAAAAAAAUGUCAAUAUAUUUAUUAUUGUUGUUGUCACAUUCUUGCAGUUGUUCUUGCUGCCGUCAAUGUUUGUGUCACUGUAUGUAAGAACAGAUAUCAUUAUUCUCAUUUAAUUAUAUUUUCGAAAUAUACUUCGUUUUUUUUUAAUUAUUAUUUGCAUAUAUCUUUCUUCCCAUUCCGUCCUUUCUUCGUCUGUUUCGCUAUAUAAUCAUACAGCUGAUUGUGUUUACAGUUGAAGAUUCUCCCGAUUAUUGCUAUCCUGAUCGAAGUGCUUAUUCACAUAUUGAUCACGAUCAUCAUCAGGAUUUAUCAUCGCUGUAAUUUCCAUCCUCAUCCACG